UACAGAGGGUGCAAGCGUUGUUCGGAAUCAUUGGGCGUAAAGGGUGCGUAGGCGGCGCGGUAAGUCGGGUGUGAAAUCUCGGGGCUUAACUCCGAAACUGCAUUCGAUACUGCCGUGCUUGAGGACUGGAGAGGAGACUGGAAUUUACGGUGUAGCGGUGAAAUGCGUAGAUAUCGUAAGGAAGACCAGUGGCGAAGGCGGGUCUCUGGACAGUUCCUGACGCUGAGGCACGAAGGCCAGGGGAGCAAACGGG
Molecule: ribosomal RNA, 253 nt
Filed under: uncultured bacterium
Lineage: Bacteria
Description: partial 16S ribosomal RNA
Rfam family: Bacterial small subunit ribosomal RNA
Source: RNAcentral